GAUAGAUAGUGUUUAUUGUAGUGGAAAGAGGAGAUCAUGAAAGCAUUUCUUAGGUGAGCGGCUUCAAAUAGGUCAACAAUCCUUUCAGCCACAAAAGAGUUAAAUGACAAAGGGACAGAUGAAUUUAUAAUUGACACAAGGCAAAGGUACACAGGGGAAGGAAGAGAUUCUCAGGGAACUGGAAGCAUCAGAACUCUUGCAGGCCUUAAGGAUAUUCAGAGUGCCAUCAAAGAGCGAUAGAAAGGAAACAGAAAGGAUGUGCUAAAGAGAGAUAGAAGGAAAGCUCAAAGAAGCAUUGAUCAGGGAUGUGUAGGCGAGAGUGUCAGAGAUGCUGAGCAACCUUUUGAUCCAAUCCAUUCUGGUUUGUCUGGAUGGUGAAGGCUCGGCAUUCCUGACACCAUACAAUCAUAGAAUUCUAGAGUUGGAAGGGACCACAAGGGCCAUCAAGUCCAACCCUCUGCAAUGCAGGAAUCUCAACUACAGCAUCCAUGACAAAUGGCCAUUAGACGUUGAUCCAUGGUGUGCAUUUCAGGUACCAUUCCCCACACCCCGUUCCUGUGGGGGAUCACAAUCCCAUUCGAAAGAGAGACAAGCUCAUCUUCGUCUCAGUAUAGGAACUGUCGCUGGAUGAGAAGGGAGAUUGUAAGCAAAAGAAUUUGGUUGCAUCAGUGAAGGCAGCUGCAUUGCUGAUGAAGGAGCAAGCAUGCUAGCCUGAGUUAUCUGGGCAGGGGUGGGGUUGGGGAGAGUCGUGUUUGUUCCCUGUUUCAUAACAUCAAUCUCCAUCUCCACCCACACUGUCAUCGGCCUAAGUGUUCCGUCGGCUGCCCGUCAUACUUCAAUAGGCA
This 845-nucleotide long non-coding RNA is filed under the name Podarcis muralis (Common wall lizard). RNAcentral describes it as "lncRNA (ENSPMRG00000018114.1)". Lineage: Eukaryota; Metazoa; Chordata; Lepidosauria; Squamata; Lacertidae. The record is from RNAcentral.